GCCUAGGUGGCUUAGUGGUUGAGCAUCUGCCUUCAACUCAGGUUGUGAUCCUGGUGUUCUGGAUGGAGUCUAGCCUUAGGCU
RNAcentral lists this transfer RNA (82 nucleotides) under Canis lupus familiaris (dog). It matches the Rfam family "tRNA". Rfam says of the family: Transfer RNA (tRNA) molecules are approximately 80 nucleotides in length. Their secondary structure includes four short double-helical elements and three loops (D, anti-codon, and T loops). Lineage: Eukaryota; Metazoa; Chordata; Mammalia; Carnivora; Canidae. RNAcentral also lists the same sequence under 1 other name. The record is from Rfam by way of RNAcentral.